RNAcentral lists this ribosomal RNA (275 nucleotides) under uncultured bacterium. RNAcentral's name for it is "partial 16S ribosomal RNA". It matches the Rfam family "Bacterial small subunit ribosomal RNA", at positions 337 to 604 of the family's 1533-position model. The record is from RNAcentral.
CCCUACGGGGGGCAGCAGUAGGGAAUCUUCCACAAUGGACGAAAGUCUGAUGGAGCAACGCCGCGUGAGUGAAGAAGGGUUUCGGCUCGUAAAGCUCUGUUGGUAGUGAAGAAAGAUAGAGGUAGUAACUGGCCUUUAUUUGACGGUAAUUACUUAGAAAGUCACGGCUAACUACGUGCCAGCAGCCGCGGUAAUACGUAGGUGGCAAGCGUUGUCCGGAUUUAUUGGGCGUAAAGCGAGUGCAGGCGGUUCAAUAAAGUCUAUUUUAAAACCUU